Molecule: ribosomal RNA, 1179 nt
Filed under: Escherichia coli
Lineage: Bacteria; Pseudomonadati; Pseudomonadota; Gammaproteobacteria; Enterobacterales; Enterobacteriaceae
Also listed under: 1 other name
Description: bacterial LSU rRNA
Rfam family: Bacterial large subunit ribosomal RNA
Source: RNAcentral
GGGUUGUGAGGUUAAGCGACUAAGCGUACACGGUGGAUGCCCUGGCAGUCAGAGGCGAUGAAGGACGUGCUAAUCUGCGAUAAGCGUCGGUAAGGUGAUAUGAACCGUUAUAACCGGCGAUUUCCGAAUGGGGAAACCCAGUGUGUUUCGACACACUAUCAUUAACUGAAUCCAUAGGUUAAUGAGGCGAACCGGGGGAACUGAAACAUCUAAGUACCCCGAGGAAAAGAAAUCAACCGAGAUUCCCCCAGUAGCGGCGAGCGAACGGGGAGCAGCCCAGAGCCUGAAUCAGUGUGUGUGUUAGUGGAAGCGUCUGGAAAGGCGCGCGAUACAGGGUGACAGCCCCGUACACAAAAAUGCACAUGCUGUGAGCUCGAUGAGUAGGGCGGGACACGUGGUAUCCUGUCUGAAUAUGGGGGGACCAUCCUCCAAGGCUAAAUACUCCUGACUGACCGAUAGUGAACCAGUACCGUGAGGGAAAGGCGAAAAGAACCCCGGCGAGGGGAGUGAAAAAGAACCUGAAACCGUGUACGUACAAGCAGUGGGAGCACGCUUAGGCGUGUGACUGCGUACCUUUUGUAUAAUGGGUCAGCGACUUAUAUUCUGUAGCAAGGUUAACCGAAUAGGGGAGCCGAAGGGAAACCGAGUCUUAACUGGGCGUUAAGUUGCAGGGUAUAGACCCGAAACCCGGUGAUCUAGCCAUGGGCAGGUUGAAGGUUGGGUAACACUAACUGGAGGACCGAACCGACUAAUGUUGAAAAAUUAGCGGAUGACUUGUGGCUGGGGGUGAAAGGCCAAUCAAACCGGGAGAUAGCUGGUUCUCCCCGAAAGCUAUUUAGGUAGCGCCUCGUGAAUUCAUCUCCGGGGGUAGAGCACUGUUUCGGCAAGGGGGUCAUCCCGACUUACCAACCCGAUGCAAACUGCGAAUACCGGAGAAUGUUAUCACGGGAGACACACGGCGGGUGCUAACGUCCGUCGUGAAGAGGGAAACAACCCAGACCGCCAGCUAAGGUCCCAAAGUCAUGGUUAAGUGGGAAACGAUGUGGGAAGGCCCAGACAGCCAGGAUGUUGGCUUAGAAGCAGCCAUCAUUUAAAGAAAGCGUAAUAGCUCACUGGUCGAGUCGGCCUGCGCGGAAGAUGUAACGGGGCUAAACCAUGCACCGAAGCUGCGGCAGCGAC